UAAGGAAUAUUGGUCAAUGGACGCAAGUCUGAACCAGCCAUGCCGCGUGGAGGAUGAAGGUCCUCUGGAUUGUAAACUUCUUUUAUCUGGGACGAAACACUUCUUUUCUAAGAGGCCUGACGGUACCAGAUGAAUAAGCACCGGCUAACUCCGUGCCAGCAGCCGCGGUAAUACGGAGGGUGCAAGCGUUAUCCGGAUUCACUGGGUUUAAAGGGUGCGUAGGUGGGUAUGUAAGUCAGUGGUGAAAUCUCCGAGCUUAACCUGGAAACUGCCGUUGAUACUAUAGGUCUUGAAUUAUCUGGAGGUAAGCGGAAUAUGUCAUGUAGCGGUGAAAUGCUUAGAUAUGACAUAGAACACCAAUUGCGAAGGCAGCUUACUACAUAUAAAUUGACGCUGAGGCACGAAAGCGUGGGGAUCAAACA
Molecule: ribosomal RNA, 422 nt
Filed under: uncultured bacterium
Lineage: Bacteria
Description: bacterial SSU rRNA
Rfam family: Bacterial small subunit ribosomal RNA
Source: RNAcentral